This 764-nucleotide long non-coding RNA is filed under the name Homo sapiens (human). RNAcentral describes it as "HSALNT0087402". The record is from RNAcentral. Lineage: Eukaryota; Metazoa; Chordata; Mammalia; Primates; Hominidae.
GAAAAUUGUUUCCUGUUAACAUGAAAAGCUCUGAAAGCCCAUGAGUCUUCUGAUGAUGUCAAGCAGGCCAGUGACCCACUUUGAGAAGUCAAGGAAAUGCUUGCUGGAGGAAGCAGAAGGCAUUGGAUCAGUGCUUUCAAUGUCUGACUUUCAGAGAAUAUUAAAUUAGUCCUCCAAUUAUAUUUUCCUGAAGAAAUAAGUGAAUUGAACCAUUUCAAAGUGUCUGGAAAAGGGAAAAGUCAUUGCUUCCACUUCUGUUAACUCCUGCUUGACAUUAAUCCUAUCACAGAAACCUGCAGAAGACAGGAAAUCCAUUCAUUCUUUUAGGCCGACAUCUGUUGAAUAUCUACUGCAUUCCAGGCACUGUUGGAGGCAGAAAAUGUACAAAAUCCAGUAGAACAUGCUAAGUCAGCGCACGAAAAAACAACAGUCUUCUGCAAACAAAACCAUGUUUUUCCAAAACAAUUGCAAUUUCAGAUAAGCUUUUACUUUAUGAUGGUUUCCAAUAAGAAAAUGGCAACAUCAAAGUCAUUUUGGAGCCAUGUGACAAUAAAGCUACAUGUCACAGCCUUAAAUAAUGAUAAAUUAAUUCUGGCUUUUUUCUUGAUAUCCUUUGUCCCUUAUCUUGGCCUUCAGCAAAGUGCUUCUCAUCAUCAUAUUCACCAUGCACACAUAUACAUGAAACUAUAAUGACAAAUGAUGAUAUGAAUAUCCAUUGCUCCAACAAAUAUAAUCUUGAUACCAAUAACAAUAAUGAAAAUAAG